Rattus norvegicus (Norway rat) is the source of this 446-nucleotide non-coding RNA. Lineage: Eukaryota; Metazoa; Chordata; Mammalia; Rodentia; Muridae. The record is from RefSeq and is a predicted model, not a curated record.
GGGACAGUGGUGGUGUCCGUGCAACCCUUGAGAACACUAUAUGGGUCAGUUUAUCUGCUUGUCAAUGAAACCAUCAAGUCCCUGAGAGCAGAAGCUAAAACUCUUCUUAUCCUCAGGUUUGGCAUAGCAUGUUGGGACCGGAAGAGAACGAGCUACCUCUUAAUACAAAUCAGAAGUGAGAGUUUUGCUGACGUUUCCCGGGCUUCUUCGAACACCCUGAAGGAUGCGUGCCGUCACCGUGGUUUUCUACGUGGCUGGAAUGUGGCUUAAUGCUGUUUGGGAAAGUUUUUCUACAUCUGUCCCCGCUUGUGUGCAAUGUGCUAACCGGGAGACCUUCCGUGGUGUCCCCGUUUCCGAAGUUAAUUUGCUAAACAGCUGCUCUAAGAAAAUGGUCCAGAUGGUUCCUGACAUGGAGAGAUAAUAAAUAAGUGGUCCUUUCCGCUUGA